Molecule: long non-coding RNA, 690 nt
Filed under: Helianthus annuus (common sunflower)
Lineage: Eukaryota; Viridiplantae; Streptophyta; Magnoliopsida; Asterales; Asteraceae
Description: hypothetical non coding rna
Source: RNAcentral
GCUCGGCCAUGUGAAAUCCACAACCAUUUAAGCACCUCUAUCUUUUCUCUUUCAUUGAAAAUUAACACUUUAGUAUUACUCUUCGGAAACAACCGCCCUCACAGCCGGACUCAUCGGAAACCACCGCCCUCACCAUCUCAAAAUCUCACCCUAUUCCCACCCUUACUUCCCCCACUUCAAUUCGAGUUUGAAUCCAGUGCACCUGCUUGAAUUACGCAAAUUACCUUUUAAUUCAAGGUAAAUAUCAAGAGAAAUUCAUUUUAUCGUUCACUCCGGGAUCCUGAUGAUGUCGUCGUUAGCCGCCGGCGGUUCGUUUUUCCGGCAGAGAAGAUCAGAUCUGAUGUAAACAUGAGUCAAAGAUCAUCGUGUUAUAGUUCAGAUCGGAUGUAAACAUGUGGUGGUAUGAAGCUAAUCCAACCUCCACCACUGCAACCUUUGUCGCGCCAUCCACCAGCACCAUACAUGUGUUCAACAACGACCUGCACUAAAACGAAACCGUAACUGCUUUGAUUUUUUUUUCUUUUUCUGAAGAAUUAUUGAUUGCAGCCUAUGCUUUGAUUUUUUUUUCUUUUUCUGAAGAAUUAUUGAUUUUGUUUACUAGAUGUUGGCAUAGUAUUCAACAAUGUAAAGGAAUUACAGUCUCCUUGUUUCCAGAUGAUGAUGAAAUUGUUGGAAUUGGGAUAUCUCUGA